UUUCUGCUUUUAUAGCGCACUCUGUUAUGUGCCUUUUAAAGUUGAUAUUUCUUCCUAUCCACACGCCGAGGUAUUUUACUGCUUCUUUUGGCGUAACUAAAGUUCCCAUGAUAUUAAACUGUACGUCCGGAGGUUUUCUUCUGCAAUUUAGAAGUACUGCUUCUGUUUUAUCGGGUGCUAAUUUUAGCUUUUUGCUGUACAUCCAGUGUACAAUUUUGUCUAGAGUAUCAUUUGUUUUUUCUACUAAAUCCUCUAUGGUUUUUGCAGAUACAAUCACAGCCAAAUCAUCGGCAUAUCCCACGAGCUCGACAUCUUCCGCAACCGACAGUCUCAGGACACUGUCAUACAUUAUAUUCCAUAGCAGUGGUGCGAGCACCGACCCCUGUGGAACCCCGCUGUUUACUUCUAGUAGUUUACCAUGUUCGGUUUAGGAAGAAGAAUCAGUCGUGCUGUUUUCCAGCAAUCCGGAAAGGAUUUUUUCCUUAGACAGGUGUUGUAUACAUUUAGUAGUUUCUUUGUUUCAUUUUCCGCUAUAAUUUUAAUAAUUUCUGCAGGAAUACCAUCUGGUCCAGUGGCUUUACCAGGUUUCAGGCGUUUGGCGGCAAUUAGUAGUUCUUCCAGUGUGAAAUUUUUUAUGGGGUUCUUUAUUGGUUCGGGCCAUACUACUUCAGGAUGGCGCGGAAACAGAUGCACUACAACGUUUUCCAGUUCAUCCUCACCGUUUCCCCAGACGUCGUCAUCAAUUGAGGCACAUAAUUCCUGCCACUUUGAAUGUUUUGAGAUUUUUAUUUCCUUUCGUAGUUUAUCCCUUGCUAUUUUUAGUGUGUUUACCUUAGUUUCUAGGUUUUGUGACAAUGUUGUUUUAGGUCGAGCUCUUGUUACAGCUCGUCUGGCUUUGAUAGAUUCUUUCCGGAGUUGGGCAAUACGAUCGUUCCACCAGUAGCAGGGUCUUCGUUUUGGUGAAAAAGAUUUCUUUAACAUCGCAGCGUUGCAUGAUUUUUCAAGACUGUCUUUUAGUUGCUCGGGCGAGUUUAUACUGCCACACUUAUUAAACCUUUUUAGGAGUUUCGCCUUAUUCAAUGAUUUUAGGUUCCACGCUGGGGGUUGGUUUGAAUUAUACUGAUGGCUAUCUGGUAAAUUUGUUUCCCAUUUGAAAGAAAUGAUUUUGUGGUCGCUGAGGGAUUCUGUAUCCA
Long non-coding RNA from Tribolium castaneum (red flour beetle), 1193 nucleotides. RefSeq lists it as uncharacterized. The transcript is spliced from 3 exons. NCBI's taxonomy places the organism in Eukaryota, Metazoa, Arthropoda, Insecta, Coleoptera, Tenebrionidae. The record is from RefSeq and is a predicted model, not a curated record.